RNAcentral lists this ribosomal RNA (1541 nucleotides) under Escherichia coli. RNAcentral describes it as "partial 23S ribosomal RNA". It matches the Rfam family "Bacterial large subunit ribosomal RNA", at positions 1292 to 2816 of the family's 2925-position model. The record is from RNAcentral. Lineage: Bacteria; Pseudomonadati; Pseudomonadota; Gammaproteobacteria; Enterobacterales; Enterobacteriaceae.
GAAUGCUGACAUAAGUAACGAUAAAGCGGGUGAAAAGCCCGCUCGCCGGAAGACCAAGGGUUCCUGUCCAACGUUAAUCGGGGCAGGGUGAGUCGACCCCUAAGGCGAGGCCGAAAGGCGUAGUCGAUGGGAAACAGGUUAAUAUUCCUGUACUUGGUGUUACUGCGAAGGGGGGACGGAGAAGGCUAUGUUGGCCGGGCGACGGUUGUCCCGGUUUAAGCGUGUAGGCUGGUUUUCCAGGCAAAUCCGGAAAAUCAAGGCUGAGGCGUGAUGACGAGGCACUACGGUGCUGAAGCGACAAAUGCCCUGCUUCCAGGAAAAGCCUCUAAGCAUCAGGUAACAUCAAAUCGUACCCCAAACCGACACAGGUGGUCAGGUAGAGAAUACCAAGGCGCUUGAGAGAACUCGGGUGAAGGAACUAGGCAAAAUGGUGCCGUAACUUCGGGAGAAGGCACGCUGAUAUGUAGGUGAAGCGACUUGCUCGUGGAGCUGAAAUCAGUCGAAGAUACCAGCUGGCUGCAACUGUUUAUUAAAAACACAGCACUGUGCAAACACGAAAGUGGACGUAUACGGUGUGACGCCUGCCCGGUGCCGGAAGGUUAAUUGAUGGGGUUAGCGGUAACGCGAAGCUCUUGAUCGAAGCCCCGGUAAACGGCGGCCGUAACUAUAACGGUCCUAAGGUAGCGAAAUUCCUUGUCGGGUAAGUUCCGACCUGCACGAAUGGCGUAAUGAUGGCCAGGCUGUCUCCACCCGAGACUCAGUGAAAUUGAACUCGCUGUGAAGAUGCAGUGUACCCGCGGCAAGACGGAAAGACCCCGUGAACCUUUACUAUAGCUUGACACUGAACAUUGAGCCUUGAUGUGUAGGAUAGGUGGGAGGCUUUGAAGUGUGGACGCCAGUCUGCAUGGAGCCGACCUUGAAAUACCACCCUUUAAUGUUUGAUGUUCUAACGUGGGCCCCUUACCGGGGUUGCGGACAGUGUCUGGUGGGUAGUUUGACUGGGGCGGUCUCCUCCUAAAGAGUAACGGAGGAGCACGAAGGUUGGCUAAUCCUGGUCGGACAUCAGGAGGUUAGUGCAAUGGCAUAAGCCAGCUUGACUGCGAGCGUGACGGCGCGAGCAGGUGCGAAAGCAGGUCAUAGUGAUCCGGUGGUUCUGAAUGGAAGGGCCAUCGCUCAACGGAUAAAAGGUACUCCGGGGAUAACAGGCUGAUACCGCCCAAGAGUUCAUAUCGACGGCGGUGUUUGGCACCUCGAUGUCGGCUCAUCACAUCCUGGGGCUGAAGUAGGUCCCAAGGGUAUGGCUGUUCGCCAUUUAAAGUGGUACGCGAGCUGGGUUUAGAACGUCGUGAGACAGUUCGGUCCCUAUCUGCCGUGGGCGCUGGAGAACUGAGGGGGGCUGCUCCUAGUACGAGAGGACCGGAGUGGACGCAUCACUGGUGUUCGGGUUGUCAUGCCAAUGGCACUGCCCGGUAGCUAAAUGCGGAAGAGAUAAGUGCUGAAAGCAUCUAAGCACGAAACUUGCCCCGAGAUGAGUUCUCCCU